AUUGAACGCUGGCGGCAUGCCUUACACAUGCAAGUCGAACGGCAGCACGGGAGCAAUCCUGGUGGCGAGUGGCGAACGGGUGAGUAAUAUAUCGGAACGUGCCCAGUAGUGGGGGAUAGCCCGGCGAAAGCCGGAUUAAUACCGCAUGAGACCUGAGGGUGAAAGCGGGGGAUCGCAAGACCUCGCGCUAUUGGAGCGGCCGAUAUCAGAUUAGCUAGUUGGUGGGGUAAAGGCCUACCAAGGCAACGAUCUGUAGUUGGUCUGAGAGGACGACCAGCCACACUGGGACUGAGACACGGCCCAGACUCCUACGGGAGGCAGCAGUGGGGAAUUUUGGACAAUGGGCGCAAGCCUGAUCCGGCAAUGCCGCGUG
Molecule: ribosomal RNA, 373 nt
Filed under: uncultured bacterium
Lineage: Bacteria
Description: bacterial SSU rRNA
Rfam family: Bacterial small subunit ribosomal RNA
Source: RNAcentral